AAGCACAUUUUAUUCAGUAGCUAUACCAAUUGUAGCUAUGUAACAAGUAGAAAUGCAUGCACGUGUGAAUGAGAGACAUAAAUAAUAGUUUGUCCAUUUCAACAUUACUCAUAGAGCCAAGAACUCUAACAUAAGUUUCUGUCAACAAUGAAAUGGAUAAAUACAUGGUGGUAUAAUGACACAAUGAAACACUAUACAGCAGUGAAUGAGUUUGGCAAACACAACAUUGAGCAAAAAAUGCCAUACACAAAAAAUGUAUACUGUAUACCUGGUAGUUUUGGGGAGCAGAAAGGUAGGUACUGAUUAGGAGAACAAAAAGCACAUUUCCGUUGUGCUAGUAAUUUUUUUUUUAAUUAGAUUUCAUUUCAAAAGUGUUUGCUUUUUAGUAGUAAAACUACUUUUCAGUAAAAAAAAGUAAAGGAGCUGUACCUUUACUUUUGUGCAUUUUUCCUAUUUUUAUAUGUCAAUAAAGUUUAAUUAAUGACUCUUACCUAUGCAUAUAUAUACACAUGGCUAAAAUAAGUUAGUAUUAAAAAUAUGAAAGCCUGCCAUACUUUGGAUGGUGAACAUCUGUUCUGUAUCAUUACUGAAAAUGAAAAAAAAAAAACUAUGUUUAAAAUUCCACUUAUAGAUCUUGAAAUUGAAAUGUAGAAGUAUGUCCAGUUGAUGAUAAGUAUCAUUGUGAAGAAUUGCUAACAAGGCUAUAGACCACUUAUUUUGGGGGGCAGGUGGCAAGCAUGUAAUCAUAG
This 749-nucleotide long non-coding RNA is filed under the name Homo sapiens (human). RNAcentral describes it as "HSALNT0146529". Lineage: Eukaryota; Metazoa; Chordata; Mammalia; Primates; Hominidae. The record is from RNAcentral.